UGACAUAAUAUGAAUAAUAUUUUUUUUAUCACUUUCUUUUUUUUGAUAUUUUUCAAUUUACCCCAUAACACAACAUCAUGUUUUCAAUUUAAAAAUACACACCCAUUUUUUAAAAAAAAUAACUCCCUUUUAAAUAUACAAGAAUGCAGUAAAAAAAGUAUAUCACCAAUAAAAUUAAUGAAAUCGGUUUCUUGUAGCACAAAAAUUUUAAAAAGAUUAAAUUUAAAAAAAAAUAAAAUAUACGAGGAUAUAGAAAAUUAUAUUAAAAAAAAAAACAUUAUCUUGUAACAAUGAAAAUGACACCAUCAUCACAAAUAACUUAAAUGAAUUUAGGCCUAUUUUUCAAUAUGAUCAAGAGGAUUGGAAUGAAAUAGUGAUUGAUAAUGUUAGGAAUAAAAAUAUAAUAAACUUAAUAAAUUUUUUAUUUACAGAGUAUAAAAAGGCAUUUAUUGAUGUUAAUGAAAAAAUAAAAGACCUAAACAAUAAUCAGUGUAAUAAUGAAAAUAUAAAACUUUCAUUUGUUUCGUUAGGAUCUAUUAAAAUAACUGAUAUGAAUAAAGAUGAAUUUUUACAACAUUUAAAUAAAUAUAUUAUUUUAUUAAAAUAUAGUAAAGAUAAUUAUAUAUCUUUUAAUUUUAUCAAAAGUGAAAUAUUAAAUAUAACAGAUAAUAUUAUAAAAUAUGUACAGAACUAUUUACAUGAGGAACAGGUGUGUGAUAAGAUAAAAAAUGAAUUUCUAAUUAUGCAUGAUCUUAUAAAAAAAAUAAAAAAAAAUGAUGCUAUAAAAAUGAAUAUUAAGUACUUUUUAGAAAUAUUAAAUAGUAAGAAAGUUUUAAAUAAUAAUAGUAUAUUUUAUUUAGUAACAAAAAUAUUUUCUUUAUUUAACGUAUUAGUGAGGGAUAAUUCCUCACUAAUUUAUCGGUAUGAUUAUAUACUAACUCCACGGUUUUUCUUUUUAUGUAUUUUUUCAUUAUAUUCUUACAAUUUAAGUAAAUCUCGUUUUUAUUAUUUUAUGUUAUUAAUCCAUGGUAGAGUAGAAUUAUUAAAUUUAACAGAAAAUGUUACGAAACUAUAUGAUGACAAUAUAAAUUAUUAUGUGUACAAAAAAAAUGUUAUUGAUACUAUUUUUAAAAAAGAAAAAGAGCAAUAUGAGUUUAUUACUAAGAAGAUGGUUAUAGAAAAUGAAACCAACGUUGUUAGUACUAUUACAAAUGAAAAAUAUGUUAAAGAAAAUUUUCAUCAUAAUAUAAAGAAAAAUCACCCAAACGAUGAAAAAGAGGAAAGCAUUUUUGUUAAUAACAAUAAAGGAGAGGUACUAAUAAAUGAACAUAACAAGGUGUUACAAUUUAAAGAUUUAUAUGAAAAUUUGUUGAUAAAACUUUUACUAUUUUAUGUUUUUUUUUAUUUUAGUGACCAUUAUUUUUGUAUAAUAAUUUUUUUAAAUUUUUGUAACUUGAUGAAGGACAAUGAAAGGAAUAAUGAAAGAUAUAAUGGAAGGAAUAACAACAAAAUAACAGAAACAAUUAAUUAUUUAUUUUUUAUUUUGUUAGACAGCUUACAUCAUGUAAGAGAGUAUACCAAAAUCAUAGUUCUUUUAAAUUUGUAUAAAGAAAACUUUCUUCCUUUUGCUGAUAAAGAUUUAAGUCAUGUAAAAAAAGUUGUUAAUUCAGUUUUAAAUGAUUAUAUUGAAAACGAAAGUUUUUCUUCUGAAUCAUUGAAAUUAGUUCUAGAAAUUAAUGAAUCUAUUAGUACUGUGGAAAAUGAAAAAGCAAAAUGUAUGUAUAACAAAAAUGACAUAAAUGAUUUAUAUGAAGACGAACAUGUUAAAAAAAAGUAUUUAAACGAAGGUGUUAUUUUUAAAGAUGAAAAUAAAGGAGAGGGGGUUGAAGAAAAUCAUAAUGAAACAAAAUUCGAAACCGAUAGUAUAAACAAACAGUUGAAUUUUAAUGAAAAAAAAAGAAACAUAUUUAUUAAUACUUUAAAGUGUAAACAUACAAGUCCAACUGUUACUUCAAAUACGGGUUUAAGCUCGAACAUAGGCUCGAACAUAGGCUCGAACAUAGGCUCGAACACAAGUGUGAACACAAGCUCGAACACAAGUGUGAACAUAAGCUCGAACACAAGUGUGAACAUAAGCUCGAAUUCAACAACGGGCGAAACCGAUUUAACCGACACGAAGAACAGUUUUAACAAUUAUUUGAUUUAUUUAUUAAAAAAAAAGGCAUAUGACAAAAUUGAACGGAUAGAAAAAAGAAAUUAUUUAAAUGAAAAUAAUACAACAUAUAGUUUAUUUAUUGAGUCAUACUUAAGUAAUCAUAAAUAUGAUAAAGUGUACAAAGUUUAUAAAAAAAUGAAAUUAAGAAAAAAUAUAACUAUCAACUAUUUGAAUGUGAAAAAUUUGAUACAUAGUUUUAAAAAAUGUGACAUAAACAAAGGAGAUAUAUUAAAUGAAUUACAAUGGAUAUAUAAAGGUUUUUUAAAUUUAUACUUUUCAAAAGAUUCUUAUUUUAUUUUAGUCAAAACUUUGUUAUAUAAACAUAUAUGUGAUUAUUUAAAAAAAAAAGUGUGACAUGAAUCUAAUUAUAGAUAUAUUUAACAUUAAUGAACUUAUUAAAUAUUUUAUAAAAUUUAAAAGUUUUAUUAAUAUCAAAAAAUUAUAUUUUAUUCUACUGAAUUAUUCUUAUAUCAAAACAUAUAAAACGUAUUUAAUAUUGAUAAGGUUUUUUAACAAUAUAUAUUAUGAAAAGAAGGAAUUUAACAGACACACUGGGGAAGAGAGUCUUUUGUUAAAAGAAAAAGCAAUUCAAAAUAAACAAACAAUUCAAAAUGAAAAAACA
Long non-coding RNA from Piliocolobus tephrosceles (Ugandan red Colobus), 2837 nucleotides. Lineage: Eukaryota; Metazoa; Chordata; Mammalia; Primates; Cercopithecidae. The record is from Ensembl.